CUGCCUUAAUAGACUGAGUAUUAAUUAUCUGAAAAGUUGCAACUUAAUCAGGAAUCCCGAGUGAUAUCUCACUGUAGUUGUUUUAGAAAUUGGAGCUUGCUGUGUGCUGAAAAUGAAGAAUUUCCAUUAGUUCCUCUACACUAUGUGACAUUAAAAAGAAGUGAUACAGGAUGGUCCAAUAUCCAGUUAGGAGAACAGAACAAACUGAUGUCUACAGGAACGCAGUACAAGCAGGCCUGUCAAAUAAAAGGGCAACAGCAUUACCAGCUCAUCAUAUAGGAGGAGGCCUGUUGGAGUCCUGUGUCCAGCUUAGGGCUCACAGCUCAAGGGAGAUAAUGACAAACUGUAAUGACAUAGAAUGCUAAAGAAGAGGAACAUGAAAUGAUG
Molecule: long non-coding RNA, 387 nt
Organism: Vidua macroura (Pin-tailed whydah)
Lineage: Eukaryota; Metazoa; Chordata; Aves; Passeriformes; Viduidae
Exons: 5
Source: RefSeq, a predicted model, not a curated record